RNAcentral lists this ribosomal RNA (253 nucleotides) under uncultured bacterium. Its description in RNAcentral is "partial 16S ribosomal RNA". It matches the Rfam family "Bacterial small subunit ribosomal RNA", at positions 524 to 776 of the family's 1533-position model. The record is from RNAcentral.
CACGGGGGGAGCAAGCGUUGUUCGGAAUCACUGGGCGUAAAGGGCGUGUAGGCGGUCCGGUAAGUGGGAUGUGAAAUGCCCCGGCUCACCCGGGGACCGGCAUCCCAUACUGCUUGGCUUGAGUACGGGAGAGGAUGUGGGAAUUCCUGGUGUAGCGGUGAAAUGCGUAGAUAUCAGGAGGAACACCGGUGGCGAAGGCGCACAUCUGGCCCGAUACUGACGCUGAGGCGCGAAAGCUAGGGGAGCAAACGGG